GGGGGUGGAUGAGUCCUGGUGGGCUCCGCGGUCUUCAAAACCGUUUGAGGGGUGCUGAGAAGGCGGCCCUGGUGGGUUCGACUCCCAUCCACUCCCG
This 97-nucleotide transfer RNA is filed under the name Chloroflexota bacterium. RNAcentral describes it as "Chloroflexi bacterium (anaerobic digester metagenome) tRNA-Sec". It matches the Rfam family "Selenocysteine transfer RNA". The record is from RNAcentral. Lineage: Bacteria; Bacillati; Chloroflexota.